GGGGGGGGGGGGGGGGGGGGGUGGCGGAGGGAGGGGGGACGGGGAGAGAGGGGAGCGUGCUUCUAUCAAGCUGAGUGGCGACCGGGUGCGUAACGCGGGAUCAACCUGCCCGUAAGCGGGGGACAAGCGCUGGAAACGACUGCUAAGCCCGCAUACGAUCUACCCGCGCCAUCGAGGAGAGAUAGAAGGGGGGCGAGACCUGUAAGCUCCCACUGAGGGAACGUAAUGCGUCUGAUUAGCUAGUUGGAGGGGUAACGGCCUACCAAGGCGAUGACGAGUUGCCGGUCUGAGAGGAUGAACGGCCACAUUGGGACUGAGACACGGCCCAGACUCCUACGGGAGGCAGCAGUGGGGAAUCUUCCGCAAUGGACGAAAGUCUGACGGAGCAACGCCGCGUGAGUGAUGACGGCCUUCGGGUUGUAAAGCUCUGUUAAUCGGGACGAAAGGCCUUCUUGCGAAUAGUGAGAAGGAUUGACGGUACCGGAAUAGAAAGCCACGGCUAACUACGUG
Molecule: ribosomal RNA, 510 nt
Filed under: uncultured bacterium
Lineage: Bacteria
Description: partial 16S ribosomal RNA
Rfam family: Bacterial small subunit ribosomal RNA
Source: RNAcentral